ACUGUGCUUAUCCAGUGUUGGUGCCAACAAUGAUAGAAAUUGAGGAGAUUUUUAUCUGAUAUGAUCAGAUGACAUCACUCCACCAAUCAAAAUUUUUUUAAAAUUAAUUAAAAUUUUUUGAUUGGUCGAAUGAUGUGGCACUGCAUGGCACAGCAAGGUCUAUUUAAACCCUGUCUGUGCCUAGGGUUUAGAGAUUCUUCUCAAUACCCAGCAAAAAUAAGAUUUCCCUCCACUUCUUUAUGUCUCCUCUGCUCCUCUCUCUCCCCUCUUCAUGUCCAAGAAGUUGGAUGUCCAUCAGGUGC
Molecule: long non-coding RNA, 302 nt
Filed under: Elaeis guineensis (African oil palm)
Lineage: Eukaryota; Viridiplantae; Streptophyta; Magnoliopsida; Arecales; Arecaceae
Description: long non-coding RNA (EGUI_LNC004889)
Source: RNAcentral